GCCGGGAUAGCUCAGUUGGUAGAGCAGGGGACUGAAAAU
Molecule: transfer RNA, 39 nt
Filed under: Frullania monocera
Lineage: Eukaryota; Viridiplantae; Streptophyta; Jungermanniopsida; Porellales; Frullaniaceae
Also listed under: 10 other names
Description: partial tRNA-Phe
Source: RNAcentral